AAGGAGUGCCUACAAAAUGGAACUGCAAGGAAGGCAAAGCUGGGAGGGGAUCUGUAGUAAAUGCCUAGCCUAGGUGCAUCCCUGGAGGUUUUCUGGCAGGAAUUUGAGCUUGCAGAGUCCUCAGUUCAAGUGUGCUUAUUGGGAGAUCCUGAUUGCAAGCCUCGGUUUUUAGAAGGUGGCAUGCUGUGGUCUGUGGUGGGGUAUGAAUUCUGCUGAAGUCCGUGCGCUUUGCAGCUGAGCUGCUUCUUCUCACACCAGGAAAAGAUAUUAUUGGUCCAACAAGUGGAUUGAAGAGCAGAGGGGAGAAUAUCUGUCCGUGGAGAUAUCACCUUGAAAGAUUCUGCUAGCUGCAAGAAAAGACCUGAACUUUCAUUUCAACCCCUUCAACAACUGCACAGACUGGAGUGGUUGCUAAAUAAAGUGACAGUGCCUGUUUGUUCA
This 441-nucleotide long non-coding RNA is filed under the name Cyanistes caeruleus (blue tit). Its description in RNAcentral is "lncRNA (ENSCCEG00000022604.1)". Lineage: Eukaryota; Metazoa; Chordata; Aves; Passeriformes; Paridae. The record is from RNAcentral.